AUGACUACCGUUCCAGGAUCUCUGGUCUGGGAGCUCGUGAAGAAGAACAACUGCUUCUUGAUAAAACAGUUCUGCAACAGCAACGCCAAGGUGCGGUUCAGCAAGGAGCCCAACAACCUCUACAAUGUCCACUCCUGCAAGUUCUCGAGCUUGGCGAACAGCAAGACUGUGGCGGUCCAGCCAUCAGCGGGAGAGGACAAGGCAGUUGUCCUGUCCACGACCAAGACCAAGAAGUAG
RNAcentral lists this ribosomal RNA (237 nucleotides) under Triticum aestivum (bread wheat). Its description in RNAcentral is "partial small subunit ribosomal RNA". Lineage: Eukaryota; Viridiplantae; Streptophyta; Magnoliopsida; Poales; Poaceae. The record is from RNAcentral.